Molecule: long non-coding RNA, 693 nt
Organism: Homo sapiens (human)
Lineage: Eukaryota; Metazoa; Chordata; Mammalia; Primates; Hominidae
Source: Ensembl
GGAGGCAAGGGGUGUAGCCCUCCUGGUGCCUGGAAGGGCUGUCUGGGCCCCCAUGGCGGGUGCUCCUCACUCACUCAAGCACCAAUCAUGAGCCUCCACUGAGAAGCUUCCACAGCAGCCCCAGGGUCAGCACCAGGCACCAAGUGCAUGCCAGCCCUGGUCAGUGAGCCUUGAUUGAAGGCCUACGGCUCGCCCACCCCAAGGAGUUCGAUCUGAUCUCUGGGACAAACGAUUCCUACACAGAGUGGAGUAGGGGUCUCCACACAGCAUAGCCAGCCACAGACAUGGAGCCUCUGCAGAGCUGGGCACAGCGGAGGGAGGCUGAGAUACAGCUAAAGGAAACAGCCAAGGCGCCUGAGGAGCCCCAAGCUUAGCGGCUCCAUUCACAGACAAGGAAUCCACGCCCCCACAUCUCCUUAGGUGGCAGGAGACAGGCACCUGGCCUUCCUCGGGCGUUACAACUUGGAAAACAAGACCAGGCGCAGUGGCUCACACCUGUAAUUCCAGCACUUUGGGAGGCUGAGGUGGGCAGAUCACCUAAAGUCGGGAGUUCGAGACCAGUCUGGACAACAUGGUGAAACCGCAUGUCUUCUAAAAAUACAAAAAUUAGCUGGGUGUGGUGGCGGGCACCUCUAAUCCCAGCUACUUGGGAGGCUGAGGCAGGAGAACUGCUUGAACCCAGGAGGCGGAGGU